This 259-nucleotide ribosomal RNA is filed under the name uncultured Staphylococcus sp. RNAcentral describes it as "partial 16S ribosomal RNA". It matches the Rfam family "Bacterial small subunit ribosomal RNA", at positions 103 to 355 of the family's 1533-position model. Lineage: Bacteria; Bacillati; Bacillota; Bacilli; Caryophanales; Staphylococcaceae. The record is from RNAcentral.
CGGGUGAGUAACACGUGGAUAACCUACCUAUAAGACUGGGAUAACUUCGGGAAACCGGAGCUAAUACCGGAUAAUAUUUUGAACCGCAUGGUUCAAAAGUGAAANACGGUCUUGCUGUCACUUAUAGAUGGAUCCGCGCUGCAUUAGCUAGUUGGUAAGGUAACGGCUUACCAAGGCAACGAUGCAUAGCCGACCUGAGAGGGUGAUCGGCCACACUGGAACUGAGACACGGUCCAGACUCCUACGGGAGGCAGCAGCU